This 284-nucleotide unclassified non-coding RNA is filed under the name uncultured Cortinariaceae. Its description in RNAcentral is "sequence contains ITS2". The stretch from base 1 to 52 matches the Rfam family "5.8S ribosomal RNA", at positions 103 to 154 of the family's 154-position model. The record is from RNAcentral. Lineage: Eukaryota; Fungi; Basidiomycota; Agaricomycetes; Agaricales; Cortinariaceae.
AACGCACCUUGCGCUCCUUGGUAUUCCGAGGAGCAUGCCUGUUUGAGUGUCAUUAAUAUAAUCUCAACCCUUCUCUUUUUUGAAAAGGUUUGGAUGUGGGGGUUUGCUGGCCUCUUCAAAAGGUUCAGCUCUCCUGAAAUGCAUUAGCAGAACAACCUUGCUCAUUGGUGUGAUAACUAUCUACGCUUAUGAAUGUGAGGGGAACAGUUCAGCUUUCUAACAGUCUUUGGACAAUUCAUCAUUAAUGUGACCUCAAAUCAGGUAGGACUACCCGCUGAACUUAA